Molecule: ribosomal RNA, 406 nt
Filed under: uncultured bacterium
Lineage: Bacteria
Description: partial 16S ribosomal RNA
Rfam family: Bacterial small subunit ribosomal RNA
Source: RNAcentral
AUUGAACGCUGGCGGCAGGCCUAACACAUGCAAGUCGAACGAGUGGCGGACGGGUGAGUAAUGUCUGGGAAACUGCCCGAUGGCGGGGGAUAACUACUGGAAACGGUAGCUAAUACCGCAUACCAUCGGAUCUGCCCAGAUGGGAUUAGCUAGUAGGUGGGGUAACGGCUCACCUAGGCGACGAUCCCUAGCUGGUCUGAGAGGAAGACCAGCCACACUGGAACAGAGACACGGUCCAGACUCCUACGGGAGGCAGCAGUGGGGAAUAUUGCACAAUGGGCGAAAGCCUGAUGCAGCCAUGCCGCGUGUAUGAAGAAGGCCUUCGGGUUGUAAAGUACUUUCAGCGAGGAGGCGGUACCCGCAGAAUAAGCACCGGCUAACUCCGUGCCAGCAGCCGCGGUAAUAC